RNAcentral lists this ribosomal RNA (559 nucleotides) under Brevibacterium sp. HPC680. Its description in RNAcentral is "bacterial SSU rRNA". It matches the Rfam family "Bacterial small subunit ribosomal RNA", at positions 47 to 616 of the family's 1533-position model. The record is from RNAcentral. Lineage: Bacteria; Bacillati; Actinomycetota; Actinomycetes; Micrococcales; Brevibacteriaceae.
UCUUACCUUGCAAGGCUUACCAUAAUACCCGUAACUUGCUGCUUGGGGUACGAGUGGCGAAUGGGCGAGUAACACGUGAGUNACCUGCCCCUGAUUUCGGGAUAAGCCUGGCAAACUGGGUCUAAUACCGGAUACUGACCACCUGACGCAUGUUGGGUGGNGGAAAGUUUUUCAAUCGGGGAUGGGCUCGCGGCCUAUCAACUUGUUGGUGGGGUAAUGGCCUACCAAGGCGACGACGGGUAGCCGGCCUGAGAGGGCGACCGGCCACACUGGGACUGAGACACGGCCCAGACUCCUACGGGAGGCAGCAGUGGGGAAUAUUGCACAAUGGGGGAAACCCUGAUGCAGCGACGCAGCGUGCGGGAUGACGGCCUUCGGGUUGUAAACCGCUUUCAGCAGGGAAGAAGCGAAAGUGACGGUUCCUGCAGAAGAAGUACCGGCUAACUACGUGCCAGCAGCCGCGGUAAUACGUAGGGUACGAGCGUUGUCCGGAAUUAUUGGGCGUAAAGAGCUCGUAAGUGGUUGGUCACGUCUGCUGUGGAAACGCAACGCUUACGUU